CCUACGGGAGGCAGCAGUGGGGAAUAUUGCACAAUGGGCGCAAGCCUGAUGCAGCCAUGCCGCGUGUAUGAAGAAGGCCUUCGGGUUGUAAAGUACUUUCAGCGGGGA
This 108-nucleotide ribosomal RNA is filed under the name uncultured Klebsiella sp. Its description in RNAcentral is "partial 16S ribosomal RNA". It matches the Rfam family "Bacterial small subunit ribosomal RNA", at positions 338 to 445 of the family's 1533-position model. The record is from RNAcentral. Lineage: Bacteria; Pseudomonadati; Pseudomonadota; Gammaproteobacteria; Enterobacterales; Enterobacteriaceae.